RNAcentral lists this ribosomal RNA (253 nucleotides) under uncultured bacterium. RNAcentral describes it as "partial 16S ribosomal RNA". It matches the Rfam family "Bacterial small subunit ribosomal RNA", at positions 524 to 776 of the family's 1533-position model. The record is from RNAcentral.
UACGGAGGGAGCUAGCGUUGUUCGGAAUUACUGGGCUUAAAGCGCACGUAGGCGGCUUUGUAAGUAAGAGGUGAAAGCCUGGAGCUCAACUGCAGAACUGCCUUUUAGACUGCAUCGCUUGAAUCCAGGAGAGGUGAGUGGAAUGCCGAGUGUAGAGGUGAAAUUCAUAGAUAUUCGGAAGAACACCAGUGGCGAAGGCGGCUCACUGGACUGGUAUUGACGCUGAGGUGCGAAAGCGUGGGGAGCAAACAGG